AAAAAAAAAAAUACAAACCCUAGGAAGCAACCGCUCAUCACCUCAGUCCCCUGUACUAACUCCCAGGUAAUGAAAUAAAAAAAUACAAACCCUAGGAAGCAACCGCUCAUCACCUCAGUCCCCUGUACUAACUCCCAGGUAAUGAAAUAACAAAAUACAAACCCUAGGAAGCAAGAGCUCCACCCUCAGUCCCCUGUACUAACUCCCAGGUAAUGAAAUAAAAAAAUACAAACCCUAGGAAGCAACCGCUCAUCACCUCAGUCCCCUGUACUAACUCCCAGGUAAUGAAAUAAAAAAAUACAAACCCUAGGAAGCAACCGCUCAUCACCUCAGUCCCCUGUACUAACUCCCAGGUAAUGAAAUAACAAAAUACAAACCCUAGGAAGCAAGAGCUCCACCCUCAGUCCCCUGUACUAACUCCCAGGUAAUGAAAUAAAAAAAUACAAACCCUAGGAAGCACCAGCUCCACCCUCAGUCCCCUGUACUAACUCCCAGGUAAUGAAAUAACAAAAUACAAACCCUAGGAAGCACCAGCUCCACCCUCAGUCCCCUGUACUAACUCCCAGGUAAUGAAAUAAAAAAAUACAAACCCUAGGAAGCAACCGCUCAUCACCUCAGUCCCCUGUACUAACUCCCAGGUAAUGAAAUAACAAAAUACAAACCCUAGGAAGCAACCGCUCAUCACCUCAGUCCCCUGUACUAACUCCCAGGUAAUGAAAUAAAAAAAUACAAACCCUAGGAAGCAAGAGCUCCACCCUCAGUCCCCUGUACUAACUCCCAGGUAAUGAAAUAAAAAAAUACAAACCCUAGGAAGCAACCGCUCAUCACCUCAGUCCCCUGUACUAACUCCCAGGCUAAUUAAAUAAAAAAAAUACAAACCCUAGGAAGCAAGAGCUUGUCCCCUCAGUCCCCUGUACUAACUCCCAGGUAAUGAAAUAAAAAAAUACAAACCCUAGGAAGCAACCGCUCAUCACCUCAGUCCCCUGUACUAACUCCCAGGUAAUGAAAUAAAAAAAUACAAACCCUAGGAAGCACCAGCUCCACCCUCAGUCCCCUGUACUAACUCCCAGGUAAUGAAAUAACAAAAUACAAACCCUAGGAAGCACCAGCUCCACCCUCAGUCCCCUGUACUAACUCCCAGGUAAUGAAAUAACAAAAUACAAACCCUAGGAAGCACCAGCUCCACCCUCAGUCCCAUGUACUAACUCCCAGGUAAUGAAAUAAAAAAAUACAAACCCUAGGAAGCAACCGCUCAUCACCUCAGUCCCCUGUACUAACUCCCAGGUAAUGAAAUAACAAAAUACAAACCCUAGGAAGCAACCGCUCAUCACCUCAGUCCCCUGUACUAACUCCCAGGUAAUGAAAUAACAAAAUACAAACCCUAGGAAGCACCAGCUCCACCCUCAGUCCCCUGUACUAACUCCCAGGUAAUGAAAUAACAAAAUACAAACCCUAGGAAGCACCAGCUCCACCCUCAGUCCCCUGUACUAACUCCCAGGUAAUGAAAUAAAAAAAUACAAACCCUAGGAAGUAACAUCUCAUCCCCUCAGUCCCCUGUACUAACUCCCAGGUAAUGAAAUAAAAAAAUACAAACCCUAGGAAGCAACCGCUCAUCCCUCAGUCCCCUGUACUAACUCCCAGGUAAUGAAAUAAAAAAAUACAAACCCUAGGAAGCAACCGCUCAUCCCCUCAGUCCCC
Long non-coding RNA from Protopterus annectens (West African lungfish), 1698 nucleotides. RefSeq lists it as uncharacterized. Lineage: Eukaryota; Metazoa; Chordata; Ceratodontiformes; Protopteridae. The record is from RefSeq and is a predicted model, not a curated record. The transcript has 4 exons.